RNAcentral lists this ribosomal RNA (301 nucleotides) under uncultured bacterium. RNAcentral's name for it is "partial 16S ribosomal RNA". It matches the Rfam family "Bacterial small subunit ribosomal RNA", at positions 509 to 807 of the family's 1533-position model. The record is from RNAcentral.
CAGUAGCCGCGGGAAUACGGAGGGUGCAAGCGUUAAUCGGAAUUACUGGGCGUAAAGCGCACGCAGGCGGUUUGUUAAGUCAGAUGUGAAAUCCCCGAGCUUAACUUGGGAACUGCAUUUGAAACUGGCAAGCUAGAGUCUUGUAGAGGGGGGUAGAAUUCCAGGUGUAGCGGUGAAAUGCGUAGAGAUCUGGAGGAAUACCGGUGGCGAAGGCGGCCCCCUGGACAAAGACUGACGCUCAGGUGCGAAAGCGUGGGGAGCGAACAGGAUUAGAUACCCCAGUAGUCCCUGUCUCUUAUAC